AAUCUUCCACAAUAGGCGAAAGCCUGAUGGAGCAACUCCGCGUGAGUGAAGAAGGUUNNNGGAUCNUCAAAAUCUGUUGCAAGNGAANAACAAGUACAGUAGUAACUGACUGUACCUUGACGGUACCUUAUUAGAAAGCCACGGCUAACUACAUCCCAGCAGCCGCGGUAAUACGAAGGUGGCAAGGCUUGUCCGGAAUUAUUGGGCGUAAAGCGCGAGCAGGCGGUCCUUUAAGUCUGAUGUGCAAGCCCACGGCUCAACCGUGGGGGGUCAUUGGAAACUGGUGGAGUUGAGUGCAGAAGAGGAAAGUGGAAUUCCAAGUGUAGCGGUGAAAAGCGUAGAGAAUUGGAGGAACACCAGUGGCGAAGGCGGCUUUCUGGUCUGUAACUGACGCUGAGGCUCCAAAACGUGGGGUGCAAAAA
RNAcentral lists this ribosomal RNA (422 nucleotides) under uncultured bacterium. RNAcentral's name for it is "partial 16S ribosomal RNA". It matches the Rfam family "Bacterial small subunit ribosomal RNA", at positions 360 to 774 of the family's 1533-position model. The record is from RNAcentral.